AACGAACGCUGGCAGCAUGCCUAACACAUGCAAGUCGAACGAGACCUUCGGGUCUAGUGGCGCACGGGUGCGUAACGCGUGGGAACCUGCCCUUAGGUUCGGAAUAACUCCCCGAAAGGGGUGCUAAUACCGGAUAAUGUCUUCGGACCAACGAUUUAUCGCCUUUGGAUGGGCCCGCGUUGGAUUAGCUAGUUGGUAGGGUAAAAGCCUACCAAGGCGACGAUCCAUAGCUGGUCUGAGAGGAUGAUCAGCCACACUGGGACUGAGACACGGCCCAGACUCCUACGGGAGGCAGCAGUGGGGAAUAUUGGACAAUGGGCGAAAGCCUGAUCCAGCAAUGCCGCGUGAGUGAUGAAGGCCUUAGGGUUGUAAAGCUCUUUUACCCGGGAUGAGAAUGACAGUACCGGGAGAAUAAGCUCCGGCUAACUCCGUG
This 433-nucleotide ribosomal RNA is filed under the name uncultured bacterium. Its description in RNAcentral is "partial 16S ribosomal RNA". It matches the Rfam family "Bacterial small subunit ribosomal RNA", at positions 29 to 507 of the family's 1533-position model. The record is from RNAcentral.